Molecule: ribosomal RNA, 483 nt
Filed under: uncultured bacterium
Lineage: Bacteria
Description: partial 16S ribosomal RNA
Rfam family: Bacterial small subunit ribosomal RNA
Source: RNAcentral
GACGAACGCUGGCGGCGUGCUUAACACAUGCAAGUCGAACGAGGAUGCCCAGCUCGCUGGGUGGAUUAGUGGAGAACGGGUGAGUAACACGUGAGUAACCUGCGCAUGACUCUGGGCUAAGCGUUGGAAACGACGACUAAUCCUGGAUAUGACUGCCGGACGCAUGGUCUGGUGGGGGAAAGAUUUUUUGGUUGGGGAUGGACUCGCGGCCUAUCAGCUUGUUGGUGAGGUAAUGGCUCACGAAUGCGAGGACGGGUAGUCGGCCUGAGAGGGUGACCGGCCACACUGGGACUGAGGCACGGCCCAGACUCCUACGUGAGGCAGCGGUGGGGAAUAUUGCACAAUGGGCGGAAUGCUGAUGCAACAACGCCGGGUGGGGGAUGACGGCCUUCGGGUUGUAAACCUCUUUUAGUAGGGAAGAAGCGAAAGUGACGGUACCUGCAGAAAAAGCACCGGCUAACUACGUGCCAGCCGCCGCCGUAA